Molecule: small RNA, 67 nt
Filed under: Acididesulfobacillus acetoxydans
Lineage: Bacteria; Bacillati; Bacillota; Clostridia; Eubacteriales; Peptococcaceae
Description: Peptococcaceae bacterium INE non-coding RNA
Source: RNAcentral
GUUUCAAUUCCUCAUAGGCAGGCUAUCGGCUCGUGGAUCUGCCGGAUUGUGUCAGCAUUUUCCGAGG